CUCAACCUGGGAACUGCAUUGGUGACUGGCAGGCUAGAGUAUGGCAGAGGGGGGUAGAAUUCCACGUGUAGCAGUGAAAUGCGUAGAGAUGUGGAGGAAUACCGAUGGCGAAGGCAGCCCCCUGGGCCAAUACUGACGCUCAUGCACGAAAGCGUGGGGAGCAAACAGGAUUAGAUACCCUGGUAGUCCACGCCCUAAACGAUGUCAACUAGUUGUUGGGGAUUCAUUUCCUUAGUAACGUAGCUAACGCGUGAAGUUGACCGCCUGGGGAGUACGGUCGCAAGAUUAAAACUCAAAGGAAUUGACGGGGACCCGCACAAGCGGUGGAUGAUGUGGAUUAAUUCGAUGCAACGCGAAAAACCUUACCUACCCUUGACAUGGUCGGAAUCCUGCUGAGAGGUGGGAGUGCUCGAAAGAGAAUCG
This 423-nucleotide ribosomal RNA is filed under the name uncultured beta proteobacterium. RNAcentral describes it as "bacterial SSU rRNA". It matches the Rfam family "Bacterial small subunit ribosomal RNA", at positions 608 to 1029 of the family's 1533-position model. The record is from RNAcentral. Lineage: Bacteria; Pseudomonadati; Pseudomonadota; Betaproteobacteria.